UUACUGAGGCUAGCUGAGAAGAAGCAGUUUGAACCAGUGGAGAUCAAGGUAGUGAGGAAAGCAGAAGAUCGGCCCCUGACUGCAGAGGAACUGAGGGAGCCAGGGUUUCUUGAACGAAAACAUAGGAAAAAGAAACCUGAACCCGACGCCAAACUACCUCCACCUGUGUCCAAAAGGGCACCCUCUCAUAAAGACAUCAUGGGCACAGAGCCCAGCAAAGGUGCUGCGACAGGCAGCUUUCUUCUAAAGGAUUGCCCUUUCCUCAUGCUGAGAAGAAAUCCAGACACAGCAUAGCCAAUGAGAAACAAGUAGCUUUGUCUUCAUCCAAAUCCCCGCCAGGAGAGAGGACCAAGGUAGGAUCUGGCAGUAGCGCCCAGCCCUCACUUCGGGAGGGUCACAACAGGCCUGUCUUCAAUGGGGCUGCAAAGCCCCACCCCAGCACCUGUUCACCAAGUGUCCCAAAGACUUCUGCUAGCGGGACUCAGAAAUCUGCUUCUGAGCACAAAGCCAAAAAAUCUCUUCCUUCUCAUCCCAGCCAUUCCAAGCCUGGACCCACAGUUCUCUCACACAAGGCUGAGUCCAGGUGUCGGACAGCCAGGCAGCAACUCUGGCUCUGCUCCUGGGCAGCCUAGCCCAGGGACAGCUCGACCCACACUUAGUUCUGGCCCUGUACCCAGGCGCCAGAAUGGCAGCUCCAGCUCAGGACCUGAGCAGUCAGUCAGUGGGAUCAGAAAGCUGGCCAGCAACUCACAUCCCUCUGGACAAACACUCAACGCCACAAAUGGUCCUGGACGACCCGCAGGCAGCUCAAGUGAGCCUGGGCGACCCAUCAGUGGGUCUGUUGGUUCUGGGAGACCUGUGGGCAGUUCUAGAGACCCUGGGCAGCCUGUAAACAGUCCACAUGACCUUCGACGACCAAUGAACAAUCUAGGCUCUCUUGGGCGGUCAGUCAGUGGAGAGAUCCAUCAGUGGUUCCAUUCUAGCUGGACAAACUGUCAGUUCAGGCCCUGGAAGACCAGCGAGCAGCUUAGGACCUGGACGAGCAAAUAGUAACCCAGGCCUCCCCACAAAGCCCAAAAGCACUGUUGUCUCAGAAACAAUUUCUUCAAAGAAUAUUAUUAGUUGGUCAAGCAAUGGACAGAUAAAUGGAAUGACACCUCUCCUCUCUGGCUACAGAUCUGCUCAAGGUCCUCAAAGGCUUCCCUUCCCUACUGGCUACAAAAGGCCUCGAGAGUAUGAAGAUGAUGAUGAUGAUGAUGAAUAUGACUCAGAAAUGGAUGAUUUCAUCGAAGAUGAAGGAGAACCUCAGGAAGAAAUAUCCAAGCACAUUCGAGAAAUCUUUGGCUAUGACCGAAAAAAAUAUAAAGAUGAAAGUGACUAUGCCUUACGUUACAUGGAGAGCAGUUGGAAGGAGCAGCAGAAGGAGGAAGCCAAGAGUUUAAGACUCGGAAUGCAAGAGGACUUAGAAGAAAUGAGGCGCGAAGAAGAGGAACUGAAACAUCGAAAGGCCAAGAAGCUGAAGCGACACUAGCUGCUGCUGCUGUGGAUUCUGGGAGAGACACUGCAAGGAUCUCCUGCCUUCAGACUGAGCAAGCUUGUUCCUGGCUUAGAUUCACACGGGGCACUCAAAAGGAAGGAAUACAUACUGUCGUUUGCAGGCUAUCGUUUGAGUGUGCAGUGUUUUCAAAUGGUCCGUGGUGGAACCUAUAAUGGAGAUGAUACAAUGCUGGCCGUGUGCUCUGCUGAAGUUAGCCAUUCACAGGUGCCAGCCUCGAUCCUGAUGAGCUAUGCACGCUAAUGUGGGACCACUCCCCAGUCAGCUGAUCACUAUUCCUUUGCUACUUCAAAAGGAGAAAAAGAUUGAUGUGUGAGUAGGGUAUCAGCCAGAUCGCAGUCUGACUUGGCCUUAGGAAGGGCCUGGUUCUUCUGUGAAUGCUGCCAGCAAUAAAGUGACCUGUUCUA
RNA transcript from Mastomys coucha (southern multimammate mouse), 1962 nucleotides. It is a transcript of the gene named protein SPT2 homolog pseudogene, with no coding region annotated. NCBI's taxonomy places the organism in Eukaryota, Metazoa, Chordata, Mammalia, Rodentia, Muridae. The record is from RefSeq and is a predicted model, not a curated record. The transcript has a single exon.